RNAcentral lists this long non-coding RNA (1632 nucleotides) under Anser cygnoides (Swan goose). RNAcentral's name for it is "lncRNA (ENSACDG00005013843.1)". Lineage: Eukaryota; Metazoa; Chordata; Aves; Anseriformes; Anatidae. The record is from RNAcentral.
GCUGGGGCCGGGGCCGGGGCCGGGGCCGGGGCCGCCCGUCCCAGCGCGGCCGCCCCGCAGGAGGCUGGCGCUGCGGUACCACCCCGACAAGAACCCCGACGACCCGGCGGCGGCCGAGCGCUUCAAGGAGAUCAACAGCGCCCACGCCACGCUGAGCGACGAGGACAAGCGGCGGCUCUACGACCAGUACGGCUCCCUGGGGCUCUACGUGGCCGAGCAGUUCGGCGACGAUGCCGUGCGGCACUACUUCCUCAUGUCCAAGUGGUGGUUCCAGGCCCUGGCCCUCUGCUGCGGCGCGCUCACCUGCUGCUGCUGCUGCUGCUGCUGCUUCUUCUGCUGCGGGACGUGCUGCCCGCCCAAGGAGGACGACUCCUACAAGUACGUCGACCCCAAGGACCUGGAGGCGCAGAUGGGCGCGGAGGACGGCGAUCCACAGAUCCCGGUUGUGGCGCAGCCCCCACCUGCCGGCGCACAGCCCCUGCCAUCUGUCAGCACCAAGACCGAGGCAUGAGGCUGGCCUCCAUCCUGCCGGCUCCCCAAGGACUCCAGACAGGGAUCCUACUUUGGGACUGUCACUUUCCAGGACCCCCGUCAUGCCACCCAGGGCUGCUCUCCAGCCUCAAGGUGGCUAGAAUCUCAGGUUAAAUUGGCCAGCAUCACUGCAGAGGUUCUUCUGCCCCUGCUCGAGCGCCAGGGCAAUGCUCCUGUCUCCCAGCACUGGUGACGGAGGCAACCCAGAGCCCUCGCUGCUGCACCCCAUCCGCAGUGCCUCAUCUGCUGCGGUGUUCCCAGCAGCCUGCCCAAGAAGUCACGCAUGGAGACCUCUUUGGGCCAGGCUCAACCCUGCAAGAAGUAGCUGUGUCCGAGACCGUUAGCACUGUAACCUCUGGGGCUGGGCUCAGCCCACUACCUGCCCUCACAGGGACCCUCCUGAUGGGUGCUGGGUGCCAAAUGCUGCUCGUGGGGUUGGGGUGCUGCCUGCUGUACCCCCUUCCUCUCUGCCCUGCUAUGGCUCCGGGGCGCUGGCUGCACCCCACUCCUGCUGCUAGCAGGCUCCCUGCAGGGCUGGGCCCCGUACAGGCACUUUCCUUGGGUUUUAAUAGAUUUUAUGGACACUAUUAAAGGACUUUAAAGGAUGACAGAAUGUGAGUGUGUUCGCGUGGUCUGUUCCAUCGGGGCAGCCUGAGAGCUGGCAGGAUGCACCUCUGCCUUGUGCCAGGGAGAGUGCUGGGUCCCGGGGGGGCAGGCAGGGAGGGGCGUGGGGUAGCACGUCCUGUCCCAAGCGCUGCUGGAGCGCUGCUCUCAUCCGGGUGACUCAGUCUCUCCUGUCACCUGCCCGGGGCUGCCUGUGGCAGCCGGCUCCCGCAGAGCUGUGCUUUUCCUGCCCUGCAGCCCCGUGCCCCACGCGGGCAGGUGGCCGGGUGCCUGGCCACGCUCCUGCCCUGGCUCUGGGGAGCAGUGGCUCUGCUGAGGGGGGGAGAGGGACGGGGGGGCCCGGGGGGCCCCCAACCCUCCCUUCACAGCCUGCAGCCCCCACCCGCAGCCGUGCGGGCCCUGCCUCACCCCCUAAAUAUAGCCGAGUGGCCAGGCCGCUCCUGGCACCGGCCUUGCUGGGCGCGCUGCCACGUCGGU